This 467-nucleotide ribosomal RNA is filed under the name uncultured bacterium. RNAcentral describes it as "SSU rRNA". It matches the Rfam family "Bacterial small subunit ribosomal RNA", at positions 26 to 518 of the family's 1533-position model. The record is from RNAcentral.
AGAAUGAACGCUGGCGGCAUGCCUAACACAUGCAAGUCGAACGAAGCCUUCGGGUUUAGUGGCGCACGGGUGCGUAACGCGUGGGAAUCUACCCCUUGGUUCGGAAUAACAGUUGGAAACGACUGCUAAUACCGGAUGAUGACGUAAGUCCAAAGAUUUAUCGCCGAGGGAUGAGCCCGCGUAGGAUUAGGUAGUUGGUGUGGUAAAGGCGCACCAAGCCGACGAUCCUUAGCUGGUCUGAGAGGAUGAUCAGCCACACUGGGACUGAGACACGGCCCAGACUCCUACGGGAGGCAGCAGUGGGGAAUAUUGGACAAUGGGCGAAAGCCUGAUCCAGCAAUGCCGCGUGAGUGAUGAAGGCCUUAGGGUUGUAAAGCCCUUUUGUUGGGAAGAAUUGUACGGUUGAAUACUCCGUGCGGAUGACGGUACCAAGAAUAAGCACCGGCUAACUUCGCGCCAGCAGCCGC